CACGGAGGGCGCAAGCGUUGCUCGGAAUCACUGGGCGUAAAGCGGGUGUAGGCGGUCUAGCAAGUCAGAUGUGAAAGCCCACGGCUCAACCGUGGAAGUGCAUCUGAAACUGCUAGACUUGAGUGCCGGAGAGGGAAGUGGAAUUCCUGGUGUAGGGGGUGAAAUCCGUAGAUAUCAGGAGGAACACCGGUGGCGAAGGCGACUUCCUGGACGGCCACUGACGCUGAGACCCGAAAGCGUGGGGAGCAAACAGGAUUAGAAACCCUAGUAGUCC
This 274-nucleotide ribosomal RNA is filed under the name uncultured bacterium. RNAcentral's name for it is "partial 16S ribosomal RNA". It matches the Rfam family "Bacterial small subunit ribosomal RNA", at positions 524 to 796 of the family's 1533-position model. The record is from RNAcentral.